GAUGAACGCUGGCGGCGUGCCUAACACAUGCAAGUCGAACGUGAGGGGGUAGCAAUAUCUCUGAAAGUGGCGCACGGGUGAGUAAUACGUAGGUGACCUGCCCUGGAGUGGGGGAUAACAGCUAGAAAUGGCUGCUAAUACCGCAUAAUACCGAGUGAUUGGGAAAUUGCACGGUAGAAACUCUGGUGCUUCAGGAGGGGCCUGCGGCCGAUUAGCUAGUUGGCGGGGUAAGAGCCCACCAAGGCAGUGAUCGGUAGCUGGUCUGAGAGGACGAUCAGCCACACGGGAACUGAGACACGGUCCCGACUCCUACGGGGGGGC
RNAcentral lists this ribosomal RNA (321 nucleotides) under uncultured bacterium. RNAcentral describes it as "bacterial SSU rRNA". It matches the Rfam family "Bacterial small subunit ribosomal RNA", at positions 28 to 350 of the family's 1533-position model. The record is from RNAcentral.